ACGGGGACGAGGUCGGGCAUG
Molecule: microRNA, 21 nt
Filed under: Vriesea carinata
Lineage: Eukaryota; Viridiplantae; Streptophyta; Magnoliopsida; Poales; Bromeliaceae
Description: vca-miR408-5p
Gene: vca-miR408-5p
Source: miRBase by way of RNAcentral